AGCGACAGGCUUAACACAUGCAAGUCGAGGGGCAGCAUGAGCUUAGCUUGCUAAGUUUGAUGGCGACCGGCGCACGGGUGAGUAACGCGUAUGCAACUUACCUAUCAGAGGAGAAUAGCUCAUCGAAAGAUGAAUUAAUGCUCCAUAAAACAGGGGUCCCGCAUGGGAAUAUUUGUUAAAGAUUCAUCGCUGAUAGAUAGGCAUGCGUUCCAUUAGGCAGUUGGCGGGGUAACGGCCCACCAAACCGACGAUGGAUAGGGGUUCUGAGAGGAAGGUCCCCCACAUUGGUACUGAGACACGGACCAAACUCCUACGGGAGGCAGCAGUGAGGAAUAUUGGUCAAUGGCCGAGAGGCUGAACCAGCCAAGUCGCGUGAAGGAUGAAGGAUCUAUGGUUUGUAAACUUCUUUUAUACGGGAAUAAAGUGAGCCACGUGUGACUUUUUGUAUGUACCGUAUGAAUAAGCAUCGGCUAACUCCGUGCCAGCAGCCGCGGUAAUACGGAGGAUGCGAGCGUUAUCCGGAUUUAUUGGGUUUAAAGGGUGCGUAGGUGGUCUUUUAAGUCAGCGGUGAAAGUUUGUGGCUCAACCAUAAAAUUGCCAUUGAAACUGGGAGACUUGAGUAUGUUUGAGGUAGGCGGAAUGCGUGGUGUAGCGGUGAAAUGCAUAGAUAUCACGCAGAACUCCGAUUGCGAAGGCAGCUUGCCAAGCCAUAACUGACACUGAAGCACGAAAGCGUGGGUAUCAAACAGGAUUAGAUACCCUGGUAGUCCACGCAGUAAACGAUGAUUACUAGGAGUUUGCGAUAUAAUGUAAGCUCUACAGCGAAAGCGUUAAGUAAUCCACCUGGGGAGUACGCCGGCAACGGUGCAACUCAAAUGAAUUGACGGA
Molecule: ribosomal RNA, 888 nt
Filed under: uncultured Bacteroidota bacterium
Lineage: Bacteria; Pseudomonadati; Bacteroidota
Description: bacterial SSU rRNA
Rfam family: Bacterial small subunit ribosomal RNA
Source: RNAcentral